AGCGAACGCUGGCGGCAGGCCUAACACAUGCAAGUCGAACGGACCCUUCGGGGUUAGUGGCGGACGGGUGAGUAACACGUGGGAACGUGCCUUUAGGUUCGGAAUAGCUCCUGGAAACGGGUGGUAAUGCCGAAUGUGCCCUUCGGGGGAAAGAUUUAUCGCCUUUAGAGCGGCCCGCGUCUGAUUGGCUUGUUGGUGGGGUAAUGGCCCACCAAGGCUACGAUCAGUAGCUGGUCUGAGAGGAUGACCAGCCACAUUGGGACUGAGACACGGCCCAAACUCCUACGGGAGGCAGCAGUGGGGAAUCUUGCGCAAUGGGCGAAAGCCUGACGCAGCCAUGCCGCGUGUAUGAUGAAGGUCUUAGGAUUGUAAAAUACUUUCACCGGUGAAGAUAAUGACUGUGGCCGGAGAAGAAGCCCCGGCUAACUUCGUGCCAGCAGCCGCGGUAAUACGAAGGGGGCUAGCGUUGCUCGGAAUUACUGGGCGUAAAGGGAGCGUAGGCGGACAUUU
This 510-nucleotide ribosomal RNA is filed under the name uncultured bacterium. RNAcentral's name for it is "bacterial SSU rRNA". It matches the Rfam family "Bacterial small subunit ribosomal RNA", at positions 28 to 584 of the family's 1533-position model. The record is from RNAcentral.